UGAACAUUGUCCACACAUGGCUUUGGU
This 27-nucleotide non-coding RNA is filed under the name Rattus norvegicus (Norway rat). Lineage: Eukaryota; Metazoa; Chordata; Mammalia; Rodentia; Muridae. The record is from RNAcentral.